CUACGGAGGGGACUAGCGUUGUUCGGAAUUACUGGGCGUAAAGAGUUCGUAGGCGGACUGAUAAGUAAGAGGUGAAAUCCCAGGGCUCAACCCCGGAACUGCCUUUUAAACUGUCAGUCUAGAGACCGGAAGAGGUUAGGGGAAUACCUAGUGUAGAGGUGAAAUUCGUAGAUAUUAGGUGGAACACCAGUGGCGAAGGCGCCUAACUGGUCCGGUACUGACGCUGAGGAACGAAAGCGUGGGGAGCAAACAGGAUUAGAAACCCUAGUAGUCC
This 274-nucleotide ribosomal RNA is filed under the name uncultured bacterium. RNAcentral describes it as "partial 16S ribosomal RNA". It matches the Rfam family "Bacterial small subunit ribosomal RNA", at positions 523 to 796 of the family's 1533-position model. The record is from RNAcentral.